RNAcentral lists this unclassified non-coding RNA (236 nucleotides) under Hevea brasiliensis (rubber tree). The record is from RNAcentral. Lineage: Eukaryota; Viridiplantae; Streptophyta; Magnoliopsida; Malpighiales; Euphorbiaceae.
ACUACAGUAACAGUUACUGGGUAUGGAUAGACCUUCAAAAUCUGCUUGUUGUAAAUAUUGAAAUAAAUAUUGAAAAGAUACCAAAGGCCAAACAACAAUCCAAGUUCCAAAGUCUUGGUCAAGCUAUUAGACUUCUCGCCCUCACCAGCACUCUCCGGCACGGCCGUUGCUCUAACCUCGAACCGGUCGAUCUUAGUCUCGGAAACGAGAGGAGGCAGAGGAUUCCAAGGCCUGAG